RNAcentral lists this ribosomal RNA (450 nucleotides) under uncultured bacterium. RNAcentral describes it as "partial 16S ribosomal RNA". It matches the Rfam family "Bacterial small subunit ribosomal RNA", at positions 354 to 796 of the family's 1533-position model. The record is from RNAcentral.
AUGGGGAAUAUUGGACAAUGGGCGAAAGCCUGAUCCAGCCAUGCCGCGUGUGUGAAGAAGGUCUUCGGAUUGUAAAGCACUUUAAGUUGGGAGGAAGGGCAGUAAGUUAAUACCUUGCUGUUUUGACGUUACCGACAGAAUAAGCACCGGCUAACUUCGUGCCAGCAGCCGCGGUAAUACGAAGGGUGCAAGCGUUAAUCGGAAUUACUGGGCGUAAAGCGCGCGUAGGUGGUUUUGUAAGUUGGAGGUGAAAUCCCCGGGCUCAACCUGGGAACUGCCUCCAAAACUGCAUGACUAGAGUACGGUAGAGGGUAGUGGAAUUUCCUGUGUAGCGGUGAAAUGCGUAGAUAUAGGAAGGAACACCAGUGGCGAAGGCGACUACCUGGACUGAUACUGACACUGAGGUGCGAAAGCGUGGGGAGCAAACAGGAUUAGAAACCCGUGUAGUCC